GACGAACGCUGGCGGCGUGCUUAACACAUGCAAGUCGAACGAGACGAUUGAAAGCUUGCUUUUAAAAGUCGAGUGGCAAACGGGUGAGUAACGCGUAGACAACCUGCCUUUGAGAUGGGGACAACAGUUCGAAAGGACUGCUAAUACCGAAUGUUGUAUAUUUUCCACAUGGAAGAUAUAUUAAAGAUGGCCUCUAUUUAUAAGCUAUCGCUCAAAGAUGGGUCUGCGUCUGAUUAGCUGGUUGGUGGGGUAACGGCCUACCAAGGCGACGAUCAGUAGCCUGUCUGAGAGGAUGAACGGCCACAUUGGGACUGAGACACGGCCCAGACUCCUACGGGAGGCAGCAGUGGGGAAUCUUCCACAAUGGACGAAAGUCUGAUGGAGCAACGCCGCGUGAGUGAAGAAGGGUUUCGGCUCGUAAAGCUCUGUUGUCGGGGACGAAUGUGCAGUAUUUGAAUAAAGUACUGCAAUGACGGUACCUGACGAGGAAGCCACGGCUAACUACGUGCCAGCAGCCGCUGUAA
RNAcentral lists this ribosomal RNA (524 nucleotides) under uncultured bacterium. RNAcentral's name for it is "partial 16S ribosomal RNA". It matches the Rfam family "Bacterial small subunit ribosomal RNA", at positions 28 to 523 of the family's 1533-position model. The record is from RNAcentral.